CAGUUCUGGAAGCUGCGCAGUCCAAGGUCAAGGCACCUGCAUGUGGUGUCUACUGAGAGCCUUCUUGCUGCACCCUCUUGUGUCCGGAAUUGGUGGGUUCUUGGUCUCACUGACUUCAAGAAUGAAGCCGGGACCCUCGCGGCAAUAUUUCUUUAAAAUAUCUCUGAUUUGGGUCUUCAAAAAACAAGCUACGUCUUGAAUAGGAGAAUCAGAAUUGAUGUUGUUAAAGACUGGCUAUGCUAUUUGGAAUUGCCAUGGGAGACUGGUACUGCUUCAAAGGAAUUUAAACUGUUUAUGAAGAGAGUCAAACUCUGUAAAAUAUUUGAAGAGAUUUACUCUGAGCCAAAUACGAGUGACAUGGCCUGUGACACAGCCUUCAGGAGGACCUGAGAACAUGUGACCAAGACUGUCGGGGCACAUCUUCGUUUUACGUUUCAGGGAGACAUGAGAUAUCAAUCAAGUACAUUUAAGAUAUACAUUCCUUUGGUCCAGAAAGUAGCUUUUGCCCCUUUCAAGUGGAGUCCUGCCUUUGACCACAUUGCGGGAGCUCAAUCUCUUCACUGAAUUGACAGAUCAAAAGACCUAGGAAUUUUUUCCAGAAAUCCUGGCAUUGUUAACUACACUCCGGCCUGCCAUGUUUGUCUGUGAAAGUACAGGAAACUGCUUUGAGGAGAUGCAAAAGGAGAUAAAUGAUCUCCAUGACCAAGGUCCCAAGACAACCCUCUGAGGAUGAAUAGCAUCAAGGAACAAGCUCUGGCUGAGGUCCCAGAAAUCCUCGUUUCUCCGAGAAGAACUGUCCCUUAAACGUCUAAAGGAUCGCACCCAGGAUACCACGCUGCAGUGAGUCAUCAAGUCUCCUUGGACUCCUCUGGCUGUGACAGUUUCUCAGAAUUUCCUUGCUUUUUAUGACCAUGAUGGUUCUGAGAAGAACUGCUUAGGUAUUUUUUAGAAUGCCCUGCAAUUUGGGCUUGUCUGGCGCCUUUCUCAUGAUUAGACUAAGGUUAGGUGUUUGGGGGAGGAAGAUCACAGAGGCAAAGUGCCGUGUUCCUCACAUCACAUUAAGGGUACAACUCUCAACACGACUUAUGUGAAGGAAAAUAUCUUGGGCCCUUAAAAUGACUACGCUAAAGGGAAAAGUCCAGCUGGGAACUGCUUAGGGCCAAACUGCCUCCCAUUCUGUUCAAAGUCACCCCUCUGCUCACUGAGAUAAAUGCAUAUCUGAUUGCCUCCUUUGGAGAGGCUCAUCAGAAACCCAACAGAAUGCAGCCAUUUGUCUCUUAUCUACCCAUGACCUGGGAGCCCUGUCCCCACUUUGAGUUGUCCCGUCUUUCCGGACCAAACCAAUGUUCAUCUUACAUACGUUGACUGAUGUCUCAUGUCUCCCUAAAGUGUAUAAAACCAAGCUGUGCUCUGACCACCUUGGGCACAUGUUGUCAGGACCUCCUGAGGCUGUGUCACGGACACGUGUCCUCAACAUUGACAAAAUAAACUUUCUAAAUUAACUCAGACCUGUCUCAAAUAUCCGGGGUUCACAUUUUUGUAACCAUGGAGGGAUUCUGAGUUGUGGGAUAUGAUGAGGUUUCUCUUCAAAUAGCCUGAUCAAUCCUUUAUUCUUUAAUUCAUAGUACCUCCCCACACAUACACACACACUCCUUUUUCCUUUUUCUCUUUUUUCCUUUCUGCCUUCGUUACACGCCCGGACACGCCACAGUACCAGGCUUAUCAGUACCAGCUCACAUUCCUUUCCUUAUUUGGAAGCAAGACUAGCUCUCUAGCUCAUUGCAGACAGCCCUUCCCCUUUUACCCUCUCUCUCUUACGUGCCCACCUUAUCUAAAGAAAGUUCAAAUGUUUAGCCAACCCGGAUUAGUCCAAAUUGUGCCACCCGACCCCAGCCAAUGGGAAAAGGAUACCGGGGCAGGACUUGCAUCAGGAAUAAAGGCUUUCAUGCCCCUUAGUUCAGGUGUGCUCUCAUGGUGACUGGCCAAGGAGAAGCACCCUCUGCGCAGAAGUAAAAUUGCUUUGCUAAGACUCCUUUGUUUCAGUGUUCAAUUUCCUUAGGGUUUUGAGUGUUAUUCCCAACAUGAGUGGAGGUGCCCCUGACCUUUGACAAAUCUCCUGUUGGUGCUUGGUAACAGUUUGAGGUAACUUUAUGGCUCAAACCAAUAGGACAAUUUGGUGAGGUCUGGAAGCACCCACUCCAGAGAAUCCCUGACCUCCCACUGAUGAUGCUGACAUGAUCGCCUGGCUGAGGCCAUGACUGUCAGGUUUAUCCACUGUAAAAUGACUUCUUCCUCUCCUUUGCACAUUGUACUCCUUGGAAAUAAGUCUCGAA
This 2333-nucleotide long non-coding RNA is filed under the name Homo sapiens (human). RNAcentral's name for it is "HSALNT0279929". Lineage: Eukaryota; Metazoa; Chordata; Mammalia; Primates; Hominidae. The record is from RNAcentral.